Long non-coding RNA from Telopea speciosissima, 200 nucleotides. RefSeq lists it as uncharacterized. The record is from RefSeq and is a predicted model, not a curated record. NCBI's taxonomy places the organism in Eukaryota, Viridiplantae, Streptophyta, Magnoliopsida, Proteales, Proteaceae. The transcript is spliced from 3 exons.
CAUUUAUUGAAAGAGAGCAUUACAACCUAGCCAUCUAAAGGGGAUCACCAGGUGAAGUGUGUAGCAGGACAAUGGGGCUCAUGCCACUUGCAUAGGGGCAGGCAACCAAAGGCUACACUCCUUAACAACCUAUCACUCCCCUAUAAGGAUGUUUUUAUGCUUUUUGUAUUUUUCCAGAAGGAGACAUGACCCCCCCCCUG